UNCCAGUAUACUGGGUCCCAGUGCAGUGCC
This 30-nucleotide non-coding RNA is filed under the name Rattus norvegicus (Norway rat). The record is from RNAcentral. Lineage: Eukaryota; Metazoa; Chordata; Mammalia; Rodentia; Muridae.